This 784-nucleotide long non-coding RNA is filed under the name Pan troglodytes (chimpanzee). RNAcentral describes it as "long non-coding RNA NONPTRT018526". The record is from RNAcentral. Lineage: Eukaryota; Metazoa; Chordata; Mammalia; Primates; Hominidae.
UUGUACUAGCAACUAACCAUGUUUAAAAGGUCUUAGCCAGAAUUACAAAAACAAAACAUUUAGAGUAAUACUUAUGAAUACAAGCAUAAUUGGUUCCUUGCCUUCUACAAAUAACCAUCUUGAAAAUGAUAAAAGCAGGUUUCAACUGUGGUUCUUCUCUCGGUUGAGAAGGUGCAGAUACACAUGGGUGAUCUACUGAUUUACCUUCUGAAAGUACUCUUUGGAAGCAGCUGGACUUGGCUUGCUCUUAGUGCAAGACCAGAACCUUCUAACAGCACACUGUAGUCUCGGGAAAUCUGCUUAGUUAAGUCUGACAAGAGUGCGAUGUUCAUGUGGCCCAAACCACCAUUCUUUCUUGGUGUAUUUAUCCAGGCAAGAUGGCUAAAGUGGGAAUCCACUGAGACUGCGACAACUUCACAGUUCACGUCGUGAAAUUCGUUAGCUUUGUCACUAAAAGCAACAAUUUCUGUAGGACACACAAAGGUGAAAUCCAAAGGAUAGAAGAAAAGCACCAAAUAUUUCCCCUUAAAGUCAUCAAGGCUUAGGUCUUUGAACUCUCCAUUGACAAUGGCUGUACCCUUAAAAUAGGGUGCAUGCUGGGUGACAGCAGGUGCAUGGCAUGAGGAACUGGUGCUGAAUAAUUUUGCUUGACUGGAACCAGAACACAAUAAAUUUGUCAAGCUCGUUCUUCCACAUGCAGCAGGCCUGAGGGCUGCAGUGGCAGAAAUGCCCCAAGGAAUGGCACUCGCAUGUCGGGCAACCGACGCUCGGAGCAACCGUCCUA